GGAUUGGAAUUCUAUGAGCUAUGGGAAUGAGGUGAUGCAUGGGAAAGGCUGAGAAAUUGAGGAAUUCUAAUGCAAACUUGCCUAAGGUCAUAUAAGGUGAGUCAUAGUUGGGAGUUAAUGUUUCCUUUAAUCACUAGGCCAACGUACAAGUUUUCUUUCACAUAUCCCCCAAGAAGCAAAGAAUAUGAGAGGUGUUUAGCUCUUAAAUGAUCCUCCAUAUUUUAUUGACUUGCUAGAAUUUUGUAUUGCUAUUCUUUUGUCUAUAUCUAUACCUAUAGUGUUAAGGAUAUUAAAAGAAUCAAAAAUGGAGAAGGAAAAAAACACAUGUAUUACCCCAAAUAUACAAAGAGAUGCUUAACCUAAAUUUAGUUAGGGAAAGAAGAUCACACUGAGACACCGUUUUAUACACAAGAGACCGUAAAAAAUUAAGCAGUCUAAUAAUAUCAAAUGCUGGUGAAGAUGUGGAGCAAGUGGAUUUCUUAUUCAUUGUUGGUAGGAAUAUAAAUGGAUUCAACUACUUUAGAAAAGAAUUUGGCAGUAUCUUAUAUAUAAAUUAGAGCAUUUGUACGUCACUUGACUCAGUAGUUCCACUCCCUUGUGGAUAUACAAUCAUGUGUACCAGGAAACACAAACAUGUGUUUAUAAUGGCUACAUACUAGAAACAACCCAAUUGUGGCCCCUGAAUGAAUCAAUGAUAGUGUUGUGAACCAAAGAUUAUGAUUCUGCACAACUGAUUGCAUCCAAAAUAAAGGACCAAGUCAAACAAGAAGGACCAAGAUCAUCUAACACACCACCUAACACAUGCAACAUAUGUAAUCGUUGGUUGAAUUGAUGAAUGAUAAAAACGAGGCAUUUUGGGGUAUCACAUGACUCUUUAGGUACUGAUGAAUGUUUAAGCAGCUUUUCCUUAUUUGAGACAACCAAUAUUCACUGAGCCCCUUUACCAAAUAUUUUCUCAUCGCUUAAUGAUUUUGUAUUAUAUUCAUUUGUACUAAAAAAAUGUUCAUUCUUCCAUUUUGUAACUGAAACCAGCUUUUAAACUUCUGGAGGGCAAGGACCGUAUUUUCGGUUUCCUUUUUCUCUUAUUACAGAACUACAUGGAGUGGAUAAUCAGUAACUGCUAACGACUUAAUGGUGAAACAAAAAUCCACUUAAAUUUUCCCUUUUGAAAAACAAUCUAUUUUGAAAGUAACGAAUUAUAGUCAAAAGCAGACUUUUUCAACCAAGCUAAGUGCUCUGCAACUUCAAGUGGAUACUUUUCAGGAAAAGUUUACUGUAUAUAUAGCAAAGUUGUGACAAGUAUCUUUGUGUGUAGGAAUAUGUUUGGGACAAAUACAAGGAAGUUUUUAUGUAGUAAUUCUAAGAUUUAGUGAAAUUCUUAGCACAAGGAAUCAAUGAUAAGAAAACAUUGUAUAUCUUAUAAUCAUCCAAUUAAAAACAUGCUAAACAACGUGCUAUGCUCAUUAUUUUGCUAAGAAAAUUGGAAUCCAGAAAGCCAUUGAUAUUUCAGGUCUAAGGGGUUAUUUUUGUUGUUGUUUAAUCAAGUACUAAUCAGGAGAGAUAUACUUUAUAGGAGGAGAGCCAAUUUAUCUGACAUCAAGACUGUUAAGGCGGUUACCCUUAGACGAUGAUUAUUAGUACUAUGUUAGCCUAUUUCCAAUUAAACUGAACUCUCUGUUGUAAUAGUGGUUGCAAGAGGCACAAAUUUAAAGAGAAAAAGAAGAUGUGCUUCCUUACCCUUUUCCUUUCACCCAGCGCAUCACCAAUUUAAAACUUCUGAUAUGCUAAUUGGUUCAUAUGAGUCAGGUGAGAAUCUUUUGAUAGAAAGCAACAGAAAUCCCAAACCAAAAUAACUCAACCAAAAAGGAAGAUUCUUGUUUCAUUGGUUGAGCACUCUACAUCUGAUCUGACCAGGAUUUAUUGCUAGUUCUGCUUCCUCUGGGUUGGCUCCAUUUUAAGGCAGGCUUUUUAGCAGUGCUCACACAUCUCAUCUAACGGGAGGGAGAGUUUCCUCCAAGAGUAGAGCAAAACUUGGUUCUCAUAGGCUAAUAUUGAGCCAUGUACCCAUGCCUGAAUCAAUCACUGUGUCCAGGGAAAGGAAUUAGUUUAGGUGUGAGAAACACACCUACACCUGCAGACAUGGGAGUGAGGAGUCAGUCGCCUCCAAACACAUAGGCUGCCUCUAGGAAGGGCUGAUACUUGGGCAAAGUUUAGAGUACUGUUACUGAGGGUAAUUAUGCUAAAUGGUCCAAAUAUCUACUAUAUUGUACCUUUCAAGUCAGUUCCACAUUUUCUUAUAAUAUCUUCAAUAAUUAUGAGCUAUGUGUUUUCUUUGUAUAGAGGUAUGAGGGAUGCCUGACAAGAUAGAACAAUUUUUUGUUUCUUGGUUGGUGAAAGAAGCUGCAAGCCACUUUUCUGCUGGGUGACUGUAAGGGAUCAGUUUGGAGCAGGUUUUCUUAAUUCUGAGAGGAGGUUUUGGAAGGUCUCUUCUUCUUAUGUAAAUGGAAGGAAUAGGAACCCAUUGACUUAGGAAAAGUAAGUAUCAGGCUAUUUUGUGGCUUGAUAAAGUUUUCUCCAUGUAUCUUUUGCUAUGCAAACUUGGAGAAAAGUAGAGUAAAUUUGUAUUGUCAAAGACUUCUAGAAGGAACUAAAAUCUCCCCAUUCCAUUUGAGACCACUGUAUCAGAACAUCAGAUAGAUUGAGAUGAUUUCAAAUAAGUUCACCUGUGUUCCCAAGGAAGCAUUCACACUGAGGGGAAGGCAGAUAAUGGACUAGUGAAUUACGGGAAAUCACACAGGAAGAUCCAUUCUAUAAUAGUCUGUGGCUAGAAGACCUCACUCUUACAAAAGGCAUAUUGUAGGAACAGUGGCCUAGACUGAAAGGAUAGAAGGAAAUCAGUAACUUUGGAAGCCUAUGUGUGGUACACCUCUGUAGCUUGCACUGCAUCACUGGGAAGGGUGAAAAGGCUCAAAUGAACGCACUGAACUGGAUCAGUUAAGUGCAGUGAAUUUGUAUGGUGGUACAGCAGACAUGGCGGGUGAAGGUUGGGGAUAGUAUGAAACUAGUCAGUCAGCCUGAGGGCCUUCUUUCUCCUCCUCCUUCUCUAGUCUUUCUCUUUCCCUCCCUCACUCUCUCUCUCCCUGCUUUCUUCCCUUACUGUGUUAAUUCUCCUGCUAAAGGUGAGUAACUGAGAACAGAGAUACCCCUUUGGACUGCAUAAGCGUCCCUGGUUCUUGACCACCCAAUUACGGGAAGAGCUUUAAAGAAGUAGCCAUUGGAUGUCCUUUUAAACUGGUCCUGUGGGGGAUUGAAUGAUUAAUUUGAAUAUUAAAAAGAUUUAUGAUCUUAAUUGUACCUCAAGCUGGUGAUACAGGCCACACUGAUUUUAUCAGAUUAAUUUUAAAAAACAACCUAAAACUUAACGAGUCAUUCCUAAGAAUUCUGCUUCUCCUUCUGCUUUCUAGCCUCCAAAGCUGAUCAGGCAUAAAAUUAUCUUUAAAAUAAAUUAUUCCCACACCAUCAAAUGUGGGCUUGGAUGGUAAUAAUAUAUGUAAAGAAAGAAUGAAACAAUUGGGAGAGGGAAGGGGUCGUUGGUCAGGAGAGAAAAAUGAGGGCAGGAGAGUCAAGCAUUGGCUCUUCCCCUCUUUGUAGAGGGAAUCCUGGCUCAUAGACCUGUCAGACAUCUCGGCAGGAAUAUCUCAGUUCUCAGUCAAGCUUCCUUAGCCAGAUGCCAUUGAAAAAUCAAAUCAAAUAAUUAACUCCCUUCAUUUUCAAAUUCCAUGUUCAUGAAAAAAACUUCUAAUUACAUUUUGGCCUACCCAUAAGGAAAGAGUUCACUGAAUAAGGUAUAUAUUUAACACGAAUCCUUGGUUACAGAGGAUGGCAAAAUCAGACUGAGCUUUGAAAACAUCAAUUUCAAAAUUAAUAGAAAAAAAUACAUUGGAAAAUGUAAAAAUAAAUGAAGACAAUAUCAAUCUCGACUCACACUAAAACAGGUGAUGGAAGGAUGUUACCUCUCUCCUAAAGAGAGCAAAAAGUUUGUGUUCGACUUUUAUUCUUCAUUUUUUGAGAGACCUACUAUGUGAGAUGCUAGGGAUACAGCAGCGAACAAGAUAGUCAUGUUUUCUGCCCCCGAGGAGCAAAAUUCUACUGGAGGGAAAUUGAUUAUAUAAUGGUAGUUAAAUAAUUAAUUAUAAUUUUUAGUAACAGAGGUGAAAAUGAGAAAUAAAAAGUGCUAUUAAACAUGGAGUGAGGUGCCUGUCUCAGUCCAAGGCGUCCUUCCUUAGGGAAACAACCCCGUGACCUGGGAUAUGAAGUCUGAGGGACGAAGGGUAUUCAUAGUGGCAGAGGACAGAGGAGAAGAUUUCUAGAUUGUAUCAGUCAAGGUUCUUGGUUACAGACAAUAGAAGCCAACUAACUAGCCAGCAGAUUAAGAAACAAAUUAUUGAAAAAAUCCUGGGCAUAUCACAGAAUCAACUGGGAGACUGGAAAAUAGGAUUAGAGAAUGAGAAAAAACCAAAAAAAAAAAAAAUCCCCUAAGAAAAUGGGAAAUAUAGUCCAGAACACACCAGAGUAACUGCUUGGGAUGCUGUAACUGGUGCUGUCCUCACUUGACAUUUGUGCUGAACUGUAAGUAAUGUUUUACUGUCACUGUGUCCUUGUUUCCCUUCCACAUGUUUCAAAGACUUAGCAGGAGCAUCUGAUUGGCCAAAUGUAUGACUUUUAUUGAUAAUUGCCACUUGGUAUUCGUGCCCUUAUGUGGUCUCCUCCCAUAUAGUAAUAGGGUUGAUCUGUGUGACCAAUAGAAUGUAGGAGAAGUGAUUUAUGUAACUUCUGAGGCCAGAUCAUAAAAGACAUUGUCAUUUCUGCCUUGCUCUCUCUUGGAUCACUUGGGUCUCUCAUGGAUUUGGAGGAAGCCAGCUGCCAUGUUGUGAGGACACUUAAGUAGCCUCUUGGAGAAGUGUACGUGGGAAGGAACUGAGGCCUCCUGCCAACAGCCAGCACCAACUUGUCAGCCAUAUGAUGUCUUAAUUACAACAUGAGAGACUCAACCAGAAUGGCUCAGCUAAGCUGCUCCUGAAUUCCUGUCCCACAGAAACUGUGAAGAGGGAGAGGUCCCUUCAUUUUACAGAUGAGGAAAUGAACUCAGAUUUAAAAAGUCUUUAAAUAUUUUUCAGAAUUUCUUAGGAAACAUUUGCAUGGCUAUACGAUCUACCAGUGACUGUUCUAAAAACUUUAUAAAUAUUAACUCAGUCCUCCUGGCAGCCCCCUCUGAGUGCCUACUAUGGGCUGAAUUAUAUCCCCCCCAAAUCAAUAUGUUGAAGCUCUAACCCCCAAUGUGACUGUAUUCGGAAAUGGAGCAUUUAAACGGGUAAUUAAGGUUAAAUGAGGUCAUAAGCGUGGAGGAAUCCAAUGUGAUUGAUACUCUUAUAAGAAGAGGAAGAGACACCAAGGACGUACAUGCACAGAGAAAAAGCCAUCUGCAAGCCAAGGAGAGAGUCCUCAGGAGAAACUAAACCUGUUGACAUCUUCUCCAACCUACAGAAUGGGAGAAAAUAGCUUUCCGUUGUGUAAGCUGCCCAGUGUUUUGUUAUGGCAGUCCUGGCUGACUAAUGCUAGCCAAUACCACAGGUCUACGUGAGUCAGAUUAUUCUUAUUGCUGCUUUGGCUCUCCUGUCCAUUACGGUAAUCACCCCCACCUUGCCUUUGAUGCUUGCGGUUGUAGAUAAAGAAACUGAAGCACAGGGAAGUUAAGUAACUUGUCCAAGGUCACAUAGCUGGUAAGUGGUAAAUUGGGAUUUGAACUCUCAAAAAGAAUCCACUAUCCUGUAUCUAAACAAAUCCAGACAAGAAGACUUUAACAGUUAAUACUUUCCUCAAGAACUUUGUAUCCUAUACAUACUUUUUAUUUUUUUAACUUUUUUUUUGGUGAGGAAGAUUAGCCCUGAGUUAACAUCUGUUGCCAAUUCUCCUCUUUUUGCUUUAGGAAGAUUGUCUCUGAGCUAACAUUCAUGCCAAUCUUCCUCUACUUUAUAUGAGCAGUGUGUCAGUCCACACCUGGGAUCUGAGUACACGAACUCCGGGUUGCCAAAGCACAUUGUAUGAACUUAACUACAACGCCACCAGACCAGCCCCUGCACAUAUUUUUUAAUUGAAGUUAUUGACAUAGCUUCUAAAUGGGCUUAAUAGGGGUUUUCAAAAAUUAUUUUGGUCUCCAUUGGAACAGUGUAACUGAAGGAUCCAUUCUGAGUUCUGAACUACUUGAAAAAUUUCACUCUAGACUAAAUGUUCGCUGGGAUGCACUGAAUUGUAAGUAAUCUCUGUCACAGUAUCCUUCUCUUUCACCCUCUCACUGGCUUCCAAAUGCCAGCAGGAACGUCUGAUUGGCUGAGCCUCAGGCACAGACCCAACUCCUAUCUGCCAGCUAAAUGCAGUUAACUUCCUUAGCUGUAUGGCGGGAAACUCCCACAUAAUAACUUGGAUGGAGAGAGAAUCCCCAGUGCAAGAAUAUACCCUUUUGUGUUAAUGUAACCCUAGUGUGGCUCAAGAUAUCCUCAGCCCUUGUCUUGUACUGAGACCCUCAGCAGUCAGCUGGUUCCUCAAAACACAUCCAAUUUUAUAAUACAUUCAUGAGAAAUUAACAUUUUACUAAAACUCUUCUGCACAGAGAGUAGGAUUCCCAUUGCACACAGCCCAACAGAACCUUAAUAUGAUUCUCCAUUAGAUAGUCUGUUUUUUGGUUUUUUAAAAAGGUUUUAUUUUUCCCUCUUCUCCCCAAAGCCCCCCAGUAUAUAGUUGUAUAUUUUAGUUUUGGGUCCUUCUAGUUGUGGCGUGUGGGACGCUGCCUCAGCAUGGCUGGAUGAGCCGUGCUAGGUCUGCGCCCAGGAUCCAAACCGGUGAAAUCCUGGGCCGUGGAAGCGGAGCACGCAAACUUAACCACUCGGCCGCAGGGCCAGCCCCAGAUAAUUUGGUUUUCAUCCUCAAAAUUCCUCUCCCUGCCAUUAGACUCAACUGUGAUUUUUUCCCCUUCCUUUACAUAGAUCCUAAUAAUCCCCGUUUCUGUCUUGAUUAUUUCCAUUCUUUGCAAACUCCUCUCGGCAAAAUAGAUGCCAUAUCUUCAGUGGAGCAGCAACCAUCACAAACUCUACUGCCUAUAGUUAACUCUGGUGUGGGAUGGGGUUUUGGGUAAGGAAAGAGGGAGGAAACUGUUGAGGGACUCAAAGCUGCCUGCCUUGCUUUAAAGACACUCAAAUUCAAUAAAAAACAAACAUUCAAACAUGCAACAAACAAAACCAAAAAGAACACCUCUGCUAGCUAAACAAAUUAUUUCUGUGGGUUUGUUCAGUUGGUUUGCUGCUCUUUUAAUGUAUCCUUCACUUUACCUUAAGUGACUUUUCAAAGUAUUCAUCCAAGUAAUACAGAGCUUUUUCCAACAGGAAUUCUAGGCUAAGAAGAUGGCGGUGCAUUAUGACUUGUAAACAUGGUCAAAGAGAGAGUGGGAUAAAUACUUCCCCAGUGAUCUCAGGGAUGGUAGGUAGGAAAGCUGGCUAAUCCAUACUGAAAUCACAACAGUUAAAUUGCAGCCCAAAUCGGAAAACCAACUGUCUAUUUUAUAAUCACAGUAACAGCCUGCAUCCUUAUUCCCUACUUAUUUUGCCACGUGGCAUUGGGGAGACAAUUUAGUUUUCUAUUCGAGGACAGUGUUUGAUUCUGACUCAGUCCCAGCUGAUGCAGAGGCUUAAAGUAAAGGCAGAGAUAUAGAUGUGGAUUGGAUGUGACCUGGCAUUUUGGCAAUUUUCUUCUUUUGCUAAUUGUAACAUUGCCCUUGUUUGAGUGACUUCAGAGCCCAAAUACAUCAAUUUCACAUAUAUGUGAAACAGAGCAAUCAAAUCUUAGUGGGAAAGGGUACACAUUAGCUUGUUCUAUUUUUUCUCAAGUCUUGGAUUUUCAUCUGGGGAUUUUGUAGCAUCUCUGUGUGGUAUUUUCAGGCCAUGCUGUGACUGAAUAAAGUAUUAAUGCCCUUAAAGCUAAACAUUGACGAUGCGAAGUAAACUCAAUCUGCUAAAUGUUAAUACAAUUUAUCCUUUUAAAAAUUUACAAACGUGACAUAUUGCAUGCACUUAGUGCUAAUCUAUUUUAGACAUUCAUUUGGUUUGACCUAUGACCAUAAUAUAUUAUGUUCCUUGAGAUAUUUAUCUUGUCAUUUGGAAACGAGAUUACAAUUAAUGCGACACACAUGACUUUAAAUUACUACCUCAACUAGAGAUGUGUGAGUAAUGAAUUAGCCACAGCUUUGAACCCUCUGCUUAUAAUUUAAAUUACCAGCCUUUAGCCGAUGCUUCAUUGUAAUCCAUUAAAGAAGUCACAGAAUCAUGGAACCACAUAUUGUUUUUCGAUGAUGACCUAUCGACGAUACUUUUCCAUUUAAUUUACCUAACCCUAGGCUAAUGUAUUCAAAUUCAUGUAAGAAAAACAAUCACAAGAGAGAACAUUUAUAUGUUUAGGUUAAUACUGGAAUAAAAUCAUAGCCAGACUUCAUCUAAACUAGAUGUACAAAAACAUCAUCCUUUUUUGCCGCUUUCCACUUUUCAGAAGAAAAAUAAAUAUGAUAUUGGAAAACUUGAGCUCAUACCAAAGACUUGGCCCAUAAGCCCUUUUUCAGGAGAGAUCCCCAUAGCAAAAAGCCCAAUUUGUUAUAUUUUCCACACCUCCUUCUCAGCAUUGACUUUGUCAGACUAUAAGUUCUGGAAAGGCACAGAAUAGAAACAUACUAAAUAUUUGUCAAAUGAUGUCUGUAGUGAUAAAUGAUAACCAUUUAUUAUGAAUAAUGGCAGAUUAAAUUUUGCUCACUAUCCUCCAUUUGCUAUGACGAGAUGAAUACAUUGUUUAUUUAAGCUCUUACUGUAUGCUGG
Molecule: long non-coding RNA, 8912 nt
Organism: Equus asinus (donkey)
Lineage: Eukaryota; Metazoa; Chordata; Mammalia; Perissodactyla; Equidae
Source: Ensembl